CAUAUAUAUAUGUAUAUGGUGU
RNAcentral lists this small nuclear RNA (22 nucleotides) under Arabidopsis thaliana (thale cress). RNAcentral describes it as "snRNA_08339". Lineage: Eukaryota; Viridiplantae; Streptophyta; Magnoliopsida; Brassicales; Brassicaceae. The record is from RNAcentral.